AGCCUUUUGUAUUUUUAUAAUAGGUAAUUUCUGCCCGGUGAAAAAUUUAACGGCCGCGGUACCCUGACCGUGCAAAGGUAGCAUAAUCACUUGCCUUUUAAUUGGGGGCUAGUAUGAAUGGAAAAACAAAUACACGACUGUCUCCUUGUUUGAGAUUGGAAUUUUUUGUUUGUGUGAAGAAACACAAAAACUGUAGAGGGACAAGAAGACCCUGUCGAGCUUUACUAAUAGCAACCUUAUUUUUGAAUAUUGACUAAAAAAAGUUAGUGAGCAGUUAGUUUGGUUGGGGUGACCAGAAAAGAUCGGAUCUUUUCUUAAUAAAAGAUAGAUAUGUCUAAAAUUGAUCCAGCGUGAUUAUUAAAGAAUAAGUUACCGCAGGGAUAACAGCGUAAUUUCUUUAAAGAGCUCUUAUCGAAAAAGAAGUUUGCGACCUCGAUGUUGACUUAUUAUUUCCUGUUAGAAAGCGCAGCUGUUGAAAGGGUUGGUCUGUUCGACCAUUAAAAUAAU
RNAcentral lists this ribosomal RNA (507 nucleotides) under Heteronemertea gen. sp. 3 TCH-2015. RNAcentral describes it as "partial 16S ribosomal RNA". It matches the Rfam family "Bacterial large subunit ribosomal RNA", at positions 1817 to 2597 of the family's 2925-position model. The record is from RNAcentral. Lineage: Eukaryota; Metazoa; Nemertea; Pilidiophora; Heteronemertea.